This 254-nucleotide ribosomal RNA is filed under the name uncultured bacterium. RNAcentral describes it as "partial 16S ribosomal RNA". It matches the Rfam family "Bacterial small subunit ribosomal RNA", at positions 524 to 776 of the family's 1533-position model. The record is from RNAcentral.
UACGUAGGGUGCAAGCGUUAUCCGGAAUGAUUGGGCGUAAAGCGUCCGCAGGUGGCAAUUCAAGUCUGCUGUUAAAGCGCAGGGCUUAACUCUGUAAAGGCAGUGGAAACUGAAUAGCUAGAGUGUGGUAGGGGCAGAGGGAAUUCCCAGUGUAGCGGUGAAAUGCGUAGAGAUUGGGAAGAACAUCGGUGGCGAAGGCGCUCUGCUGGACCAUAACUGACACUCACAGGACGAAAGCUAGGGGAGCGAAUGGG